GUUAUCAGUUUGUCUUGUAAAGAGACUACUGAAAUGUCUUCCCCUUUUUGAGCUGUGUCUGACAGCUGUGCUAGAAAUCCCUUUGUGUUNCUGCCCGAACUGCGGCCGGCUAAAGGACCCAGGAGGAAAGGAGAAUGGCAAAUGCAAUAUUCACAACCUCAGCAGACUCUCUAUAGUGUACAGCAACAGUUGCAGCAACCUCAGCAGACCCUUUUAACUCAGGUUAGUUUGGCUUUAUUGUUUGGUCUUCAUCCCCAAACACAGAUAAUGCAAGAGUGCAAAUUUGUGACAUCUUGGUAUUUUAAUCUGUAAAAUGAACUAAUAUGAAUGAACAUUUUAUUGGUACAGGUUUAUUUUAUCCAGAUGUUAAAAUAUGCAUAGCCUUGGUUUCAAAAAUUAAUAGCAACCACUCUUCCUUAAUCUUGAAGGGAACAUGUGUGUUGAUAGUAUAAUAAUUUUUUUUUGUUUGAACUUCAAGUGUCCAUUUGUUUUGCAGUAAAUAACAAAUGGGGAAAAUCUUUCUCUUCUCUGUGAAGGAAUUUAAUUUCCUGUAUUAACAGUGUGUGUAUAAAGAGAUUUAAAAAGAACCUUGCUGAGCCUGACGGGUUAACACAUUGCAAAUUCCUCUAGUUCCAUUUUCACUUGAACUUUUAAACAGGCUUUAAAAAGGUAAAAAUGUUUGACUUGAUUUCAUGAUCUUAACUGUGUUCUGCUUUUGUAAGGGGAGUACAUGACCUGUUGAGCUAGGGAAGGGUUUGUGUUGUCCUCAGCCUUUACUGACUUCUAAUUCCAGGUGGGAUUUAAAUGCAGAAUGACCUCUUGAGCAUUUAUUCCUAGCAAAGCUGGGAAUUUAUCUCCACCUUAGGCCCACUGUG
RNAcentral lists this long non-coding RNA (875 nucleotides) under Zonotrichia albicollis (white-throated sparrow). RNAcentral's name for it is "lncRNA (ENSZALG00000014568.1)". Lineage: Eukaryota; Metazoa; Chordata; Aves; Passeriformes; Passerellidae. The record is from RNAcentral.